UCCUUGCUUUAUCUCUAAGCUUUUGGGCGUGCAUCUUUUCCCUCCAAGCUUUCAUCCAAAUGUUCUAUCUCUUUGCUUUAUCUCUAAGUGUGACCGUGCCUCCUUUCCUACAAGACAUGAACCUUCAUAAAAUUAAAUGUAAUAAAAUGACACCUAAAUUAAAGACAUGAUAAAUAAAAGUCCUAAACUAGUGUGGGUUUUAAGACAACUCCCACUUAUUUAUGGUCCUAAUUACUAAUGUAAGAACUAAAGAGAUCAAGGUGGAUCCUCCCUUAGGCCGUGGCCUUCCUUAAGCUCUUCAUUAAGACUUAUGCAAAUUAAAGCCUUCUCUUCAUGCUUGGUCCCAUUUGCACUUGUUUCCAUGAUAGAAAAUAUGAGUUGCCGAAGUGCUUCUUGGGCCUUUUGGUUUUAGCUCUAGUCAUAGGUCCUCCUAAGCCAUGUAAAGGGUCUUCAAUGAUGUUAUGUCCCAAUGGGUUUACAUCACAAUCCACACAAUGUGCUUCGUUAUAAAUAAAUUAAAAAACUAACACUACAUAGUGCACACAGUGCUUUUCAUAUACUUUGAAUGGAUGUUAUACAGUUGUUGCUACAUUGUAAAUGUAAAGAGAAAAAAUAAAUAUACUAUAUUCUCAUAGACUAGAAAGGAGUGUUGUACAACUAUUGCCAUAUUGUAAAAAAGAAAAAAUAAAUAUACCAUAUAUGUAUACAUUGUAAAGAGAAAAGACAUAGAAAAAGCAAGAUUGUUAACAUUAAUUCAUUGAUAACAUGUUGUACUGUAUUUACUCAAUAUUGAUUGAUUAUUUCAUUGUUAACAUAUUUAGAUGAGAAUUAUUCAAUACUCAAUUUUUAUAAUAAUAUAUAGCAAGUAUAUAAUAUUGUGAGAACAUUGUAACAUUUUAUAAUGAAUUAAAAUUUAAUUUUGAUGGUGUGAUUAAUCAGUGGUGUUUAUGCUCUAAUGUUGAUAAAUUGUUUUAAUUUCAGAUAUGUCAUCAUCUUUAAGUUCUCCAUAUACAAUUCAAGCACUAGCUCCUACUACUCAAUCUUUUAGAGUAAAAUCUGACUCAACAUGGGAUCAUUGUCAAUUACUACAAGAUGCUGAAGGAAAGAAAAUUAUAAAAUGUUUGUAUUGCUCAAAAUGUUGCAAGGGUGGAAGAAUACAUAGAAUUAAACAACAUCUUACGGGAGUAAAUGGAGAUGUUCUACCUUGACUUUCAGUCUCUUUUGAUGUUAAGUAUCAACUUAAAGAACACUUGGAUCAAGUUAAUGGUAGUAUAAAAAGAUGGAGUAAUUAAGCAAACUCAAGGGGAAGAAGAUCCAUAUGAGGAAAAUGUUAUGCAACAUGAAGGAGACAUGACCAAGGGUAAAGAAACAGAGACAACAAAUAUAAGACCAAAUCAUAGUAUAAACAAUUUCUUUGCUCCAAGAACUACUCCAUGAGCUCAACCUUCAAUCUUGAAUGGACUUUGCAGGUAAAGAUGUUAUUCAUAGAGCUGAUAUGACAGUUGCUCUAUUCUUUUAUGAUUUUGCAUUCCAUUUAAUUGUGAAAAUUCAGUUUACUGUCAACCUAUGACAGAUGUAAUUGCUACAAUUGGUUCUGGUUAUAAAGGUCACAGUUAUUAUGCCGUUAUAUUUAAUUUAUUGUAUGAAAUGAAGAAGAAAGUCGACUUGUUAGUUGAGACUCUUAGGAAUUUUUUGGAAAGAAACUGGUUGCACCAUCAUAGCUUAUGGUUGGCAAGACUAAAUAAAUAAAAAGCUUAUCAAUUUUCUUAUAUAUUCUUCGAAGGGUCUAACUUUUGUUAGAUCUGUUGAUGCAUAUGGUGUCAUUAAAGAUGUUAAAACACUUUACAAUUUGUUUACUGAGUUAGUUGAGUUCGAUAUAGUAACCAAUGUUGUGCAUUUGGUUACCGACAAUGCUACAAAUUAUAAAGUUGUAGGAGCUAUAUUAAAUGAGAAUUUUCCAUCUAUCUAUUGGUCUCCUUGUGUUGCAUAUUGUUUAAAUUUGAUUUUAGGAGACAUUGGAAAAAUGGAGCAUGUGAGUACCUCAACUAAGUGUGCAUUUGAUAUAACAAAGUUUGUGUAUAAUCAUGGGUUUUUGUUAGUAACUAAUAGAGAUUUUAUUGAUUCUAGACAUUACAAGAUAAGAAAGAAAAAAUAUUUGUGGAGGUUGUUAUGGAUGUAAACACUCAAUUUUGUUUGGCCAUAUUCAUAAAAUAAAAAUUAGAAACAACGGUGAUGAUGGGGUGAGGAGGAAUAUACCUGGAUGACAAGUAAUAUCCAAGAAACUGACAUUACAUACUCCGCAAAUAAAGCUUCAGUUGUAAAAAAAUUAUUCCUAGUACGAUGAUAAAUACAUUAAAUAGAAUAAUCAAAGGGGUGCAAGUCAUAAUUCAUGGAAUCAUUUGCAGACAGUUACAAAUUGGGGCAUUGAUGUUGUAAUAUUAAGGGGAAAAUGAAAACAAUUGCGGGGAUGUCAAAAGGUGGCACUAAACAAUUGCAAAUUAGUAUUAGUUUAGUUACUCAGACUAUAAGUACAACAAUUAGGAUUGGCAAAUCUCCUGGACGGUUUCAAAAGGGUGGUAAAAAAACAAAAUUCUUGGUACAUUUCCAUUCAAAAUUCGGAGCUUAAGAGCUUAUCAUCAGAAUUCUCUUCCAACAUAAAAGGGGACAGCAUACACAACAGAAAAAGAGAGGAAUACAUACAGAGAAAAGGGAGAGAAAAAUGAAAGACCAAUUCUUCUCUCAAAAUUCCAACACUACAACAUCUCCAUAGUCCAAAUUUCUUCAUCAACCUCACUACACAUGUCAUCCUUUCUUUAUCCUAUCAUCCCUAAAAAAAUUCAGCAUAUCAAAUCCACAUAUACUAUCUAUCACACACACAUAUACAUAAUUCCACUAGAACUCAUUCAUAUCAUAGCAAACAACACAUGCAAUUGUUGACACACUUAUCACAAAGGAGUAUCAUAAGACAUACACAUAGAACAGAGGGUAACACAUUAUACAUAGACACAAGCUAUUACACACACCAGAGGAGAGAUUCAAAGAAAAGGACGCAUGACCAAAACAAAAAAAAACAUUCUAAAAUAUAGGUUCAUCAUUUUCCUUACUCAGUCAUACUGAUUUCAUUUUGUGUAUCCUUAUCCUUAUAAGUGUUGGGGUUGAAGUGGUCAUAGAUCAGUUUCUUUUAUCAGUUAAUAAUUCCUAUUAUCUAGGACACGUAGGUAGUGUUGGUAGUUAUCUUUAGAUAGGUACUUAUCAUGUAUACAUGGGUAGUUUUUUUUUCCAGUUUCUUUCUUUGUUGGCUUUUCAAUUCUGCACUGAUGUAAGGCUUAUUUAAGCCAUCUGCUCUAUUAAAUAAUAUGCAAUGGUUUAUAACAAUCCCUAUCCUUAUAAGUUUAUUAUUAUAUAACAUAAAUCCAAGAUUUAAUUAAGGGACUCUUAACAUACGGAACCCAAACACAUGAAAAAAUGAAGAACAUAACUUAUGAUAGUUCUAAUGGGAGAAGCCAAUUUGAGAUAAUUGUAGAUCCAGUGAGUAAGCAGGAAUAGUCUCCCCAUGUGAUGGGGUUUCAUGUCUCACCGCCAUGUGAAUCAUCGGUCCUGUAUAGACCGAUUCAAACCCCGGUUAGGGUCAUGGUUGUGCUGUAGAGUAAACCACAACUUCAUCUUCCACAUCUCCGGCAUAUAUCAUCUUUUCCCAAGAGACUCACAUUCGAUUCACAAAAUAGAAAACAAGGUAAAAAUAAAGAAAAUGGUUACCCGUUUCUAGUGUCGCCUUGCUCUGUUGUGAACAACCCUUGGUUGUGGUCUUCUUUCACCACCGAGAAUUGGGGCUGCCUUGCUCACUGGUCAAAGACCAAUGCAAGUUGUCGCUAGAGAAUAGAAGAAAUGAUAAGACGACCUAGUGGUUUUGUUGUGCGGCAAGGAAGUCAUCGCCGUGUUCCACCGACGAGCAAUGUCCAUCUUCGCCGAAGAUGAGAGGUGAAGAAUUUAAGGAUUUUCAUUCCCUUUUCAAUUUUCUUUCUUCGUUUUUUUAUAUUUUCCACAGGUAUCCUCGCACUAGAGGCAAUCAUGACCGAGCCGGAAACAUCCACAGGUACGUGGGGCUAACUCUCCCAGCGGACAUUUUUUCCAUCCACAACACUCGAACCCGAGACCUUGCUCAAGGAAAAUCAAGCAUGUACCACUUGAACCAAUGUCCGUUGGUAAUUUUCUCUCUUCAUUUAACAUGGUGAACCCCUUCACUUACAUCAUUUACUUUAAUUUUAAGUUUAUUGUUUUUAUUAUAAUCUUUUCAUUUCAUUUUUUAAUCUUUUUUUAUUUUAUAUAUUAGUUAUGGGUAAUUAACUCAUCCCAACAAGAUUGUGGCCCAUUAAAUCAAUCCUUAUUAAUUGUUGAGUAACAAC
This 4403-nucleotide long non-coding RNA is filed under the name Lupinus angustifolius (narrow-leaved blue lupine). RNAcentral describes it as "long non-coding RNA (LANG_LNC002118)". Lineage: Eukaryota; Viridiplantae; Streptophyta; Magnoliopsida; Fabales; Fabaceae. The record is from RNAcentral.